Molecule: ribosomal RNA, 400 nt
Filed under: uncultured bacterium
Lineage: Bacteria
Description: bacterial SSU rRNA
Rfam family: Bacterial small subunit ribosomal RNA
Source: RNAcentral
CUGGGCUAGACAACGGCGGACCGUCCUAGAAAUAGGAUUUUCCCUUCGGGGACUGCCGGUUCAGGUGCUGUAUGGCUGUCGUCAGCUCGUGCCGUGAGGUGUUGGGUUAAGUCCCGCAACGAGCGCAACCCUCGUCCUUAGUUGCCACCAUUCAGUUGGGCACUCUAGGGAGACUGCCGGCGUUAAGCCGGAGGAAGGUGGGGACGACGUCAAGUCAUCAUGGCCCUUAUGUCCAGGGCCACACACGUGCUACAAUGGACGGUACAAAGGGUCGCAAACCCGCGAGGGGGAGCCAAUCCCAAAAAGCCGUUCUCAGUUCGGAUUGGAGUCUGCAACUCGACUCCAUGAAGUUGGAAUCGCUAGUAAUCGCGGAUCAGCACGCCGCGGUGAAUACGUUCCC